Molecule: ribosomal RNA, 347 nt
Filed under: uncultured Glomeromycotina
Lineage: Eukaryota; Fungi; Glomeromycota
Description: partial small subunit ribosomal RNA
Rfam family: Eukaryotic small subunit ribosomal RNA
Source: RNAcentral
CCAAUAGCGUAUAUUAAAAUUAGAGUGUUUAAAGCAGGCUCGCGCUUGAAUACAUUAGCAUGGAAUAAUGAAAUAGGAUGUUUGAUUCUAUUUUGUUGGUUCCUAGGAUCGACGUAAUGAUUAAUAGGGAUAGUUGGGGGCAUUAGUAUUCAAUUGUCAGAGGUGAAAUUCUUGGAUUUAUUGAAGACUAACUACUGCGAAAGCAUUUGCCAAGGAUGUUUUCAUUAAUCAAGAACGAAAGUUAGGGGAUCGAAGACGAUCAGAUACCGUCGUAGUCUUAACCAUAAACUAUGCCGACUAGGGAUCGGAUGAUGUUGAUUUUUUAAUGACUCAUUCGGCGCCUUACG